UGUUUAUAUUUUUACAUAAAUUUCAAUUUCUAUAUGUCCUUCUCUGGCUAUUCAUUAUAACACAGGUAGGAUGAUUACUUUUUAUCAUAAUCUUGUUUUCACAUAAUUCACACAAAAAUUGUAAUCUAUGUUUGUUCUUAGUGGUUAUAUUCAGAAUAAAAUUAGUUAACAGCUAAUAUAUGCAUUAACUACCGUAUCGCAGAUGUACUACAUACUUUAAGAGUACUUAUAAUCUUACUUCCAUGGCAUGUUAAAUGAAUGAAGAACUUUGUACAAAGACAGGUUUACGAUAUCAAAUGAAUAUUCAAAAUCAAGCUUACAAAAAGGUAUUUGCAUCUACGGUGGCCAUUCGCUUUAUAAAACAAAUUAAAACAUGACCACUUCCUUUUAUUUGUCUUCAAGUUUAAAAAGGAGAAAUAUAUGUGUAAAGGGUAAAAAAAAUCAAAUGUUGUUACAAAAUUGCAAGAUAAAAUGGACUUAAAUUGUAUGCUAUUAAACUGAUCUUUUGCAUUUUUAAGAAUUCACAUCUGUUUCACACCACCUCUAGAAAUAGCAUUUUCACAAUAUAUAAACCAGGCUAUAAAUGUUAAUAACAUUGAUGUUAAUAGUUUAGGAAGAGGUAUCGUGGAGCUCAUAGAAGACCCAGCGGUAUAACGUUUUUUGUAAGGACAUUUGCGUAACUUGAGUAUCCAACAACUUCCUGGUAAUCUUGUCUACUAAUAUGUUUUAUCAUACUAAACAUUAAUAAGAAAGGUUCAGUUAAACAACAUUUGUCUUGCACUUCAGGACGUUAUAAAAUGAAGAAGUGUCUCAGUCGAUUUUACAAAAAGGAAAAGACAGUCAAAAACAUUUCGAUAUUGUUAUGAAUUUUUUCCUCGCUGGUGUUUAAACAUGACUAAUUAGUUGUUGAUUGAUUAAGGGCAAAAUAAAUUGUUUCAUGUAGGUCCAGGACUUAUAAAUCAAAAACACGAAAAUAAAGGUAAAAUGUAUUGUAUGUCAAUUGAAGAUCAAAUAUAUAUAUAAAAAGUGUGAUUAUACAUUUUACAGUAUUUAACGAGGUUGUACAAACGAUAUAUAUGCUUUUUUACAGGAUGUACCCAAGUCUUUGUAUUUUCAACAAUAGGAUAAUUCUCCAUGCAGUAUUUGUAUUUUCAAUAAUAGGAUAAUUCUCCAUGCAGUAUGAAGCAAGUUUUGUUUUUCAAGACAUUACUGAUACUUUCGGUGUUCAGUGGCUACUGUUACAAAAACAACAUCGUACAAGAAAAAACUGGGGGAAAUUUCUUCUGUAAACAGUUUUAUCAACAUAAUGAAUUACACGUUGAUUGUUCUUAUAAAAACCUGACAGUUGUCCCAGAUAUACCAGCUGACACGGUUUACCUCUAUCUACAACAUAACAUAAUCGGACAAAUACCUAAUAAAACCUUUGAACAUUUGAACAAGCUAGAUUUGUUAGAUCUAUCUUUCAACACAGUUAAUAUAACCAAUGAGGAUGCAUUCCCAGGUCAGCAGAAUCUGCGCUUUCUUUAUCUAAAAACUGGUUUACAAUAUUAUACUGAUACGAGAAUACGUUUGCCAAAGAAUGUAUUCAAACAUUUAUUCAAUCUUACAGUUUUGGAUCUAUCCGCCAAUAUCAUGUACGUUAAUGAAUACACAUUUAGUGGACUUAUAAAUUUGCAGCACC
RNAcentral lists this long non-coding RNA (1681 nucleotides) under Mytilus galloprovincialis (Mediterranean mussel). Lineage: Eukaryota; Metazoa; Mollusca; Bivalvia; Mytilida; Mytilidae. The record is from RNAcentral.